RNAcentral lists this non-coding RNA (715 nucleotides) under Metschnikowia bicuspidata var. bicuspidata NRRL YB-4993. RNAcentral's name for it is "Eukaryotic large subunit ribosomal RNA". It matches the Rfam family "Eukaryotic large subunit ribosomal RNA", at positions 31 to 666 of the family's 3401-position model. Lineage: Eukaryota; Fungi; Ascomycota; Pichiomycetes; Serinales; Metschnikowiaceae. The record is from Rfam by way of RNAcentral.
CCCUCAGGCAUUUUCUGAAGCGGGGAAAAGGAAUCAACACGAUUUAGUAUCGGCGAGAGAAGCGGCAAUGCUCAAAUUGAAAUCCCCAGAGAAUUGUAGUUUAAAGGUGCUCUCAGUUAGUUCAAAAUUCUCAAAUCCAUUGGAAACGGCGCCAUGGAGGGUGGCGGCCCCGUAAGUAUUCUGACUGCUCUAUUUUCUUAGACCACCAAGAGUCGAAUGUAGCUCUAAGUGGAUUGUAAGUUCCAUCUUAAACUAAAUAUUGACAUCACACCGGCCGCGAACAAGUGCAGUGACGAAAAGGUAAAGCACUUUGAAAUAGAAGGGAAAAGCACGUGGAAUUUUUAAAAAGGAAGAGCUUGCACGCAGACACAACCUUGGUGACAAUCCACUCGCCUGUCUCGAGAGAUACUUAGCAAGCCAUGCCGAUGAUACAAAACAACCCCGCAAGAAAAGACGAGACUAUUCCUGGCCUCUGUUUCUUUUGUCAGAUAAGUCGGCAAAAGAAUCACUCGAUGGUUUAAGCACCAUUGCUACAUGCAGCGGGAUAUCUCUUUGUUCAUGGAUCUGGCCGCCGUAAAAACCAAUCGUCAAUAUAGCAGCCAAAAAUAACUCCCAACAAUCGAAAGCAAACACUACUCUAUUCAGUGAAGCAGAUCGCUGAUGAAAGCGCGAUGUGAUGGGUAAGAUGACUAUGCGAGCCAAUCAUGAAAUAGGC